Long non-coding RNA from Maniola jurtina (meadow brown), 490 nucleotides. RefSeq lists it as uncharacterized. NCBI's taxonomy places the organism in Eukaryota, Metazoa, Arthropoda, Insecta, Lepidoptera, Nymphalidae. The transcript has 2 exons. The record is from RefSeq and is a predicted model, not a curated record.
UAUAAUAGCAUUUAAUAAGCAUUAAUAAAGGUAACAUUCGCCCCAAGAGCUGAACAUUGGCUGAUAAAGAGAGUGUGUGUUACCUAUUGUGCAGCUCAAACAACAAAUAAGCACCCUUUUUACGCUUUUAUGCAGUUAAAAGAGCACGAGCGGCGAAAUUGUGAAUAAAUAUUACUCCAUAUAUUCUAUAACAUAACACUAUCUCGAUAAUAUUCUGCAGCAGUGUUAUAUUUGUGCACAAAUAUCAUCACCAUCAUACAAUGUGACAUGUGUUAUGUACUUAACUGAAGUGCAAAAAGUUAAUUCAUUUUCGGGUAAUUCCCAAGGGGACUUAUUCGACAUUUGCACUUCAAGUGCAAAUGUAUUCUGCUCUCAGCAAGAGCAACAAGCAGCAGAGCAGCUGGCACAAGUGAUCAGCUCGAAAACCAUGAAGACUCUGAUGGCUAAUCAAGCUUUAAUUUUAGAUAAAUAAAUACCAUUUUUAAGCAAU